GCGGGCUUGGCAUAUCGGCCUUGUGCAAUAGCCUUCCAAGCUGUCCAGGCGGGUUCGAUUCCCGCAGCCCGCU
Molecule: transfer RNA, 73 nt
Filed under: Acidithiobacillus ferrooxidans ATCC 23270
Lineage: Bacteria; Pseudomonadati; Pseudomonadota; Acidithiobacillia; Acidithiobacillales; Acidithiobacillaceae
Rfam family: tRNA
About the family: Transfer RNA (tRNA) molecules are approximately 80 nucleotides in length.
Source: Rfam by way of RNAcentral